This 494-nucleotide ribosomal RNA is filed under the name uncultured bacterium. Its description in RNAcentral is "partial 16S ribosomal RNA". It matches the Rfam family "Bacterial small subunit ribosomal RNA", at positions 28 to 507 of the family's 1533-position model. The record is from RNAcentral.
GACGAACGCUGGCGGCGUGCUUAACACAUGCAAGUCGAACGGAAAGGCCUGCUUUCCCUUGUGGAUUGCGGGUACUCGAGUGGCGAACGGGUGAGUAACACGUGAGUGAUCUGCCCCCAACUUGGGUAUAAGCCUGGGAAACUGGGUCUAAUUCCCGAUAGGACUUCAGGGUGGUUCCUGUGGUGGAAAACGAUUUUCUAGUGGUUGGGGAUGAGCUCGCGGCCUAUCAGCUUGUUGGUGGGGUAAUGGCCUACCACGGCGGCGACGGGUAGCCGGCCUGAGAGGGUGGACGGCCACAUUGAGACUGAGAAACGGCCCAGACUCCUACGAGAGGCAGCAGUGGGGAAUAUUGGACAAUGGGCGGAAGCCUGAUGCAGCGACGCCGCGUGGGAGAUGACGGCCUUCGGGUUGUAAGCUCCUUUCGACCGCGAGGAAGCCACCUGGUUGGAAGGGUGGUGACGGUAGUGGUAGAAGAAGCACCGGCUAACUACGUG